UCUGCCUGCCAAUGCAGGAGACACAGGAGACAUGUUUCCAUCCCUGGGUCAGGAAGAUCCCCUGGAGGAGGAAAUGGCAACCCAUUCCAGAAUUCUUGCCUGGAAAAUUCUGUGGACAGAGGAAACUGACGGUCUGCAGUCCAUGGGGCCACAAAGAGUCGGACACGACUGAGCAACUGAGCAUGAACGCACGCCUCUGAGAUCCCCCAUACUUAAUGCUGGUACAUCGUUACCCAAAGUACAGUGUCAUGUUUGAAUCCUGGCUUCUGAUGACUCUCUGAAGAGUGACUACAGGGCUUCACAGAUGACAACCAGGAAUGAAGCCUUACGCACAAUACACAGGAAAAGAUACGGCACCCCUGCCUUUCACACACAGCCACCAGCAGGAGGCAGCGAGAAUACGAGGUCUGUCCAUCCUAUGAGGAACUUCCCUGUAGCUUAUACUGUAAAGAAUCUGCUUGCAAUGCAGGAGACCUGGGUUCGAUCACCGGGUUGGGAAGAUCCUCCGGAGAAGGGAAUGGCAACCUACUCCAAUAUUCUUGCCUGGAGAAUCCCAUGAACAGAGGAGCCUGGUGGGCUACAGUCCAUGCACUCACAAAGAGGCGGACACAACUGAGCGACUAAGCGCAAGCCCAUCCUUUGAGCUGCCUGUGUGACCAGAGACUAACCUGGGAGGUGGCCACAUCAGCUGGAGAGAAGGGCCGGCUGGCUUGCAGAGUUGAGGUCUUAAAAGUCUCAGGACGAGGCAGGCAGAGCCACCCCCCGGGGACAAGCUGGCAUGAGGUGCAGACUGUAGGGCAGGUGGGUGACAUUCCUGGGUGCCAGCAGGGCGUGUGGAGCAAUGCCAGCCGCCAGGGACAUGCAGGGUGAAGGCCACCCGCCACCCUUUCCAGCCCCAUCUCCCCAGAUCGUUCUCUGCUCUAGCCAUUUUCAGUCCCGGGUGCCUGGAGAGCCCGGCUGCCGCCUUCCCUGCCUGGAGGGAUGCAGUAACCCAUGCCGAUGUACAUGCGGUGCUAAGGAGGUCACAGUCAUGACCUUUUAGUAUUGUCCUUGCCUGUCUGCUCAUCUGUCUGGACAGUAAGUCCCUGACAUAUGAACCUUCAAGUUGUGAACUUUCUUUUUUUUUUUCCAUUUAUUUUUAUCAGUUGGAGGCUAAUUACAAUAUUGUAGUGGUUUUUGCCAUACAUUGACAUGAAUCAGCCAUGGAUUUACAUGCGUUCCCCAUCCGAUCCCCCCUCCCGCCUCCCUCUCCAACCCAUCCCUAAGUUGUGAACUUUCAAAGACACCAACGUGUCCCCGUAUCCAGCUGUUGUACUGCACUAACCCCUGCUUUUUA
Dama dama (fallow deer) is the source of this 1336-nucleotide long non-coding RNA. RefSeq lists it as uncharacterized. The transcript has 3 exons. NCBI's taxonomy places the organism in Eukaryota, Metazoa, Chordata, Mammalia, Artiodactyla, Cervidae. The record is from RefSeq and is a predicted model, not a curated record.